CAGUGAUGAUAUCUGCCAUUGAAUAACGAAACGCUAUUUAUCAAGGUCCACACAUCUUCUCAUAAAUACUAUAAUCAUAAAUACCACCAUCAGCUUUCAAGCUUUGUGUUUUAAAGUUUAAUAUUAUACUUAAACAGUACUAAAAAAGUUUAACUAUCCCUUUAUUUCAUUUUGUAAGCAGUUUUAGAUUAUUUAGGCAGUCUUUCUGUGAAAAUAUAUUCUACACAUGAGUUCAAUUAUCCUGCAUGAAUAGCUCAAAAUAUUAAAAUUUAAAAUUAACAUAAAAGUUUUGCCUAAAACUGUUUACUGUUCUCCAAUGUAGAAACAUAUCUUUUAAAAUACAUUUAUUAUAUUCCUAGAAAAAGUCUCAAACUUUCUUAAUGCUACCCAAUAUUCAAUAUCAGAAAUCACUUAAAUUAUCUAGCAGCUAGAUUUCAGAUAAGCUUUCUCCUUCCUUUAUACUACCAAUGAAGGAGCACUACAGGCUUAAUGUGUAUUAUUUUGAGAUAUUUUAAAAAUACAAAUCAAACAUUCUCAGUAGAUAAGCUUGGUUUAUGUCAUAGAUGGUCAAAAGCAAUAAACUACAACUCAGAUAUUUUAAGAAAUAAUUUAAAAUUCACCAAUAAUCACAUAGAUAUCCAUUCAUGGAUUGGGCGCUAUUGUAUUUGUCAAGUACAUGAAGAACAAACAAGACACAGAAGGAUAAAGUGUGGCAUAUUAAGUUAGAAAAAGACAUUUUAAAACAUCACUCCAAUGGGGAAUUUGGAAAUCUCAGUGGGAAUUACAUUCAUUAUAAAGUGGUACAAUAUUUUGAAUGGAACAUGGCCCUAGGAUUAAACAUUUUAACUGUGUCUUCUUUGACUCAGCAGUCACAGUUUUAGAAAUUUUUCAAUGAAGACAAAUUACACAAUUUUGUUAAGACAGGUAAAACUAGGGAGUUAUUUCCAAUUUUUUUUCAGAUUCUUAAGUUGAUUUAUGUAUACAUUUAUUUUCAAUAAUACUUGCACACUGCCCAAUGUCAACUAUACAAAAGUAUGAGGUACAUUAAAAUUCUCAUAUGCUACUGAAAUCCCACUUCUUACUUAAAAGCAGAGUAAUAAUUUGGAGAACAAGUUUUUCAAGGUUUUUAUAGAAGCAUAGCAAUUUUUAAAGAAAAUACUAUUAUAGAAAAAUAUUAUUCUAUAUUUGGUUUUCUCACUUGGCAGUACAUUUUCCUCAAAAUAAAUACAUAAAAAUUGACUUAGAUUGAUUCAUCAUAAUUUAUUCAAUAUUCCCUACUGAUGGCUACUGAGAUUGUAUUUGCUUUUAUUUCAAAUAAAGUAGAAUAAAAAUCCCUAUAGUACAUUAUUUCUAUGGGAUGAUAAUUCCAGUUCUACCAGAUAAGGCCCAGACGAGACACUUACUCAGUGAGAAUGUGCAUUUUAAUAUUUAAAAACGCUGCUAGGCAAAUUCUACAAAGUUUGGAGUGAUAUCCAAUUCCACUGGAUGGAGAUUAUAGUUGUGUUACAAUCUUGGCUUAACUGAAGACGAUAAUUCUUUCAGAUUUCUGUCAAUCCAAUUUUUGUUUUUUAAGAUCUCCGUGUUUCAAUCAUCUCGUUCUCGAUGACUAGUGAAGUGGAACCUAUUUUCAUUAGAAGACCAUUUGCAUUUUCUCUUCUGUGAAUUUUCUGACUAUAUUCCUUGCUGGUUUUUCUUGUGGCCAUUUCAUUCAUUAGCAUGUAUAAUUUUUGGUGUUAAGUAGAAAUACUAAAUUCUUACAUAUCAAACAAAGAUCACAAAUACUGUCAAACCACAUGCAUUUGUCAAUCUGUGAUAAUUUUUGAUCUACCAAAUGGCAAUUAAGGAUAGUUUACUCCAGCAUUUUAUUCUAGCCUAUCAUUUGUCAUUUUUAUGUGCUUAUAGUUCCUUUACCAAAGAAAAUCAAAUAUUAUAUAUACAUAUUAUCUUUAUUUUAAUAUUAGUUUUUAUCUUCAUAUAUAGUGCAAAAUGAGACUCUACUCCUUCUUUCAAAGAGACAGAUGUUCUCAGUUCUUCAAAGUUAUUAAUAAAUUUCAAUUUAUCUGCAAAACUGGAAAAAUUAUUCUAAUCUACAAUACUUUCAUGCUUCCAGAAUUAAUUUAACAGUUAAAAAAUAUUUAAAUAUGUACAAUAAAUUGUUUCUUACUUUUCAUAUUAUAAUUUCUAUGUAAUGUGAAAUGCACAAUGAUUGCUGAUUAAAUUUAAAUUUUAUAAAACCAUAAUAUUAGCAGAAAUUAUAUUAAAUAUUCUAAAUGAUUAUUUGCCCUAAAGUUAAAAUACCAUUUGAAGUGGGAAAACGGUACCGACGACUAUGCCCCCUUUUCUUAUGGAACUGCCUCUUUAUAUUUCAGUGGAUCAGGUGAUGGCCCUACCCUCUGCCUCUUUGACUUAUGAAGCCUUUACUCAGCAUAGAGUAUACUGUGCCAUCACUGUCACUUGUCUGUAAGGCAUCAUGAAGACCAUCUCUGUCAUUUUUUCAAACAGCCUUCGAGUUUUAAAAUAACACCACUUGGAAGUAACCUAUUUCCAAGCACAAACCAAAGUUCAGGCUCUUAAAUUAGAUGGUUAUUCGGUGAUUCAGACUACGUUGCUGAAUUUUAUAAUUCAAAUUAAAACAAAGAAUACAAUGGAAACUUAAUAUAGAGAACUUCUGGAAGCAUGGGAAUAAGCUUAGAGGACACUGUAGAAUACUGAUAUAUGUAUGGGCCUCUUUCUCAUUACCCUUCACAAAGGUACAAUUGUGUAGCUACAAACCAGAGUGAAAAGAGGACCCCAUGCAUUUUACCCUACUAACAAUGCAGACACACCACUAGAUGAUCUCUAACCAUGAUCCUCUCAGAAACCCUACAGAUUCAAAUUAGUUAUGACCAUUUAACAGAGAUCAAAUUGAAGCUCAGAGAAAUAUUAAUAAUUCCCAUAAAUUGCACAAUUAUUAUGCAGGAGACUAAGGUUUCACAUCUAAGUGCAUGUUUCCAAAGCCCCUACUCCUACCCCUGCAGCAAUGACUUUCAGGUGAGUGUGCUACUUUCCUGGUUUCAGCUCACUGCAUAUGGCUUCAAUUCACUGUUCUCAUUUUGCUGAAAAAUGUUAGAGGCAAACACCUUACUGAAAGAAAUAUUCCUAUGACAGUCAAUUAAAAUUCCAAAGAUCUUUAAAGAUCCUGCCAAUAAUUUUUUUUCCCAUACAUGGUUGCGAAAAAAUUAAAACAUUCUUUGUCAUAAUUAAUAGCAAUAUGAUUACACAGAUGGACUAAACAUACAGAGGCACAAAGCAAAACGACAUAAAUGUAGAAACAAAAAAAUUGGGGAGGAUCAGACUGGCAUGUUUAAUUCCUUGAAUUUUAACUAAAUUGGAUUCAGUGAUACUUUCAGCAAAACUCCCUCCUGCUUUACACCAGAAAGCAGAUGGAGGCAGAUUGCAUCAUGAGUUCAGUCCUUUCAAAUUACAAUAGUUUAUGAUGCUCAUCUGCAUUUUAAUCAGAUACAAAGGAUUUAUUCCUGAAAUGCAUGAAGGGAGCCUAUUUUCAGCACCUGGAAAUGCAUCAGAGGUUUUAUAGCCAAUAGAGUAAAAUAUGUUGUACAUUUUUACUUUGUAUCUAUUUCUCUUGUAUAUGUUACACAGAUAGAGGUGUCAGCAGUUUUAUUAAAAGCUGUGCAUAAUCUAUUCAAGAUAUCCUUUAAAGAUAAGGAUGGAGAGGUAAUUUUAUACUCAAAAAUCAUUUUUAUUAGGACUUAGCUCGUGUUUUAAAAUGAGUUAAAUUUGUCAUUUUAUUUAAUAAAAUGAAGUAUGUUUACUCUAAUAACAAAGAGCACAUUCAGCAAGUUGGAGUUUACUGCAAUCUUCUUUAGAUCACAUACAAACUGGUCAGCAAGCACCAAGACCUUGGAAAUUAAAAUUAUACACAAGAACAGUAUUUUGUGGCCAAGUUGUAUUCUGUGGUCAUAUUUUUGUGGCAUGGUAUUUUCUGUCACAUCUAUGAUAAAAGUUUUUUAUUUCACUUUUCAGAGGAAACACAGAUAUUUCAAUGUUUACGCUGUUUGUUAACUUAUGUGAGUCAUGGGACAUCUUCACAAGAAACACUUUUCUUAUUGUGGAAUCCAAAAAGGAGGAAACAGAGAAAAUGGCAGAAAAUUUAUUUAAAGAAACCAAGCCAAAUACUUCCAAAAGUUGAAAAGAGAUAAGACAUUCAGGCACAUAAGACAUACUACCCCAUACAGAUUUGACCGAAAGAAGACUCCUCUGAGACACAUGGAUACAUGAUAAUAAAACUCUUCAAAGACAAGGAGAGAAUUUUGAAUUAAGCAACAGGCAAAAACAAAACAAAACAAAACAAAAAAAUCUUAUUCACACAAUGAAAUCCCUGUACUGCUAUCAAUAGACUUAGGUAAAACCUUGAGUUCCCAUUGUGGCAGAGCGAAAAUGAAUCCAACUAGGAACAAUGAGGUUGCCGGUUUGAUCCCUGGCCUUGCUCAGUGGAUUGAGGAUCUGGCAUUGCUGUGGGCUCUGGUGUAGGUUGCAGACACAGCUUGGAUCCCAUGUUGCUGAGGCUCUGGAGUAGUCUGGGGGCUACAGUUCUGACUGGACCCCUAUCCUGGGAACCUCCAUAUGCCAUGAGAGCAGCACAAGAAAAGGCAAAAAGACAAAAAAUAAAUAAAUAAAUAAAUUUGCCAACCAAGAAUACUUUACCUGGCAAAAGUGUCCUACAAAGAUAAAGGAGAGAAAUAUUUUUACAGACAAACAAAGCAGAAAGAGAUUAUUACCACUAAACCUGUCCUAUAAGAAAUACUAAAGGGAGUUCCUCAAGCUGAAAUGAAAUGAUGCUAAUCAUGAAAACACGCUAAAAUGAAAACACAUUAAGGUAUAAAUUACACUAGCAGAAGGUAUACAUAUGGUCAAAUUCAGAGUAUUUUAAUACUAUAACAUUAUGGUAGAAUGUAAGUCACUUUACUUCAAAUAUUAAAAGAUAAAAGUAUUACAAUUAACUAUGGCUGCAAUAAUUUAGUUGAUACACAGUCUAAAAAUAUGUACAUUUUUUUGGAUGUACAUAUCUAAAAAUAUGUA
This 5079-nucleotide long non-coding RNA is filed under the name Sus scrofa (pig). RNAcentral's name for it is "lncRNA (ENSSSCG00060019836.1)". Lineage: Eukaryota; Metazoa; Chordata; Mammalia; Artiodactyla; Suidae. The record is from RNAcentral.